UACGUAGGGGGCUGGCGUUGUCCGGAAUCAUUGGGCGUAAAGCGCGUGUAGGCGGCCCGGUAAGUCCGCUGUGAAAGUCGGGGGCUCAACCCUCGAAAGCCGGUGGAUACUGUCGGGCUCGAGUGCGGAAGAGGCGAGUGGAAUUCCUGGUGUAGCGGUGAAAUGCGCAGAUAUCAGGAGGAACACCGAUUGCGAAGGCAGCUCGCUGGGACGUUACUGACGCUGAGACGCGAAAGCGUGGGGAGCAAACAGG
This 253-nucleotide ribosomal RNA is filed under the name uncultured bacterium. Its description in RNAcentral is "partial 16S ribosomal RNA". It matches the Rfam family "Bacterial small subunit ribosomal RNA", at positions 524 to 776 of the family's 1533-position model. The record is from RNAcentral.